Molecule: long non-coding RNA, 8766 nt
Filed under: Durio zibethinus
Lineage: Eukaryota; Viridiplantae; Streptophyta; Magnoliopsida; Malvales; Malvaceae
Description: long non-coding RNA (DZIB_LNC001288)
Source: RNAcentral
AAAUGUAUCUUCCCAGCUAGCCUCGAGGGUAUUGUAUUAAGAUGUGAAGACACAUCAAAUAACGAUGCCAUACCCGUUUAGUAGCCUGUGCAUUGUAAACUUUUCCAGCAACAACUCUUUUAAAAUUUAUUCUCUUUUUCUUCCUUUUUUUUUUUUUUUUCUAUUAAUAUUUGGUGAUGGUGGUGGCUGUGGUAAGGACGUGUGAUGAACGUGGGAGGCUGGUGGCGUUUCUUAUCCUUUUAACUUGGUGUAUAGCUUUUUCAGGUUUAUUUGCCCUUAAUUUUUAUCUUGUAGGCUUGAAGGCUGUUGUUAUGGGGUUGUUUUCAUGCGGUUGGGGAUUUUAUGUGUGAGAAUUUCGUGAUAUUGUUAAAUAGAAAGAAAAGCACUACAAGCUAUUGAGUAUAUUUGUGUUUGUAUGACAGUUUUGCUUUGUUUUUGUUGCCAAUGACAGGCUCCCCUCGAUUUUGAUCAUUAAUGACUUUGAAUUUCAAUCUCACGUCCUGCGCACAAACACUAUACUUGAAUUACAUGUUGCUAAUUGGCUAAAAUAUUCAGGGUGUUGUUCAAUUUAGGAUUAAUAAUAUAAUUUAAUCUCGUGUCCUCCAAAUGAAAAUUGCCAUUUAAUAAAAAAUGCUAAUGAAAGUUAUAACUAUGUCAUUGUCAUGAAAAAUAUCAUGAGCCCUAUACGUUACUUCAAUAACCUAACCAUGAGAAAUAACUAGUUUCAAGUAAGACUGUAAUUGUCGUUUAUGGUAGACAUUUUAACAAUUCUUAUAUUUAGGCUCUGUUUGGGAAAUUGGUGAGUUGAUUACUAUGUGAUUGAGUGAUUGAGUUAAGUUUGGUAAGAUUAAGUUAAGUAACGAUAAGAUAUGUAUUUGGUAAAACAACAUCCGUGAUGAAGAAAUGAUAUAGAAAAAAUAACCAUCAAACAUUAAUUUAAAAAUAAAUUAAUAAAUUAUUUUCAUCUAUCUUUAAUUUUCAAUUAACAUUUAAAAUAUUAAAAAUUUAUUCAAAAUAAAUAUUGAUACACAUUAUUUUAUAUUAAAAUAAUUACAUUAAAUCCUGAAUAAGGAUAUCAUAUAUAAUAUAUAUUAAUAUAAUAUAUACUUAUAUAAUAAUAUAAUUAUUAAUAAAUCAAUAUAUUUGUUUAAACUAAGUCAUAAGAACAUAGUUGGCCUGCUAAUAUAUAGUCCUAAACUGAAAACCCUAUUUCGAGUCUUCCCAUUUUAAAAAUUUUUUAUCAUAAUUUCUUUUUAAAAAAUAAAAAAAAAAUUAUUUAGGUUCAAAUUAAAGAGAUAUUAAAAAUUAUUUUUCUCAUUAAGAAAAAAACUUAAUAAAUUAACAAAACGUUUUAAAAAAGUAUUUAGAACAAGAUGAUUAAUUUAAAAAUUAUGAUAAUUUACAUUUAAUAAUUAUAUCACUUUAUUUAAUAUUAAUUUAAAAAUUUUUAAAAAUAAUUAUCUUAAAUUAUUAAAACAAUAAAAUUACUAUUUUGAGACGACAUUAAUAAAUUAUAAUAUUAUUAUUUUAUUCUUAAUUGUAAUGAUUUUUGCUUGAGUCUGUAGGCUCUAGCCGGACGAGACACCCACUGGUUGUUGCGGCUAUCUCAAGUGACCGCUGAAACUAAAAAAAAUAAAAUGUACGUAAUGGGAUAAGCAAAUAAGUAAAUUUGUAUUAUGAUAUAUAUAUAUAUAUAGAGAAAGGACAACAAACAACAACAAUUAAAAAAAAAACAACUCAACCUCAAAGACUUUUUACAGAGAGACUGUGGGAUUGUUGUUGGGAGGUCUCUCUGUCUGUCUCUUUGAUUUUCUUUUCUUUUCUUCCUCUAACCAUUAUGUCUACAAAUCUACUCAUUUCCUCUUCAACCCUUUCUUCCUUUACUUCAGGUAUGUCUUUACUUUACCUUUUUCUGUUGCACUUAUUUCCAUUUUAUAACUCUUUACUUUAUUCCUACUAUUGUAUACCACCACAAAUCUCUGCUUUUUUCCUCAGAUCUUUUUCAUUUUCUUGGUUUUUACUCCAAAUGGCGAUCUGGGUAUCUUUUAUUUUGUGAUAUUACCCUGUAAAUUUGCUUGUUUUAGUUUUGCUGUUAAAAUUGGAUGAUUUUGAUUUUUGAUAUCAAAAAAUUACUAUUGUUUUUUUUUUUUUUUUGACAAAAUAAAAAUGCAAGUGAAAUCUUUAUGUUCAAGUGUUAAAUGUUAUAUUUUGGACUCUAUGUAGACAAAAAUUCGUUCCUUUAACUGAGCUCAUUAAGUUCAGGAAUAUAUGUUUCUUUGUAUAGAUCUCCUUCAUUCUAUCUAUUUCUGGUGAAAAAGGAAAGAGGCUAUGCUUUGUUUUUUUCAUUUUGAUUGUUUCUUAUAUUGAAUCUCAUGGCUUUUUACUUGAUUUUGUUUGAAAUGUUGAUUUGGGUGAUUGAUUCUGGUUCUUUGGUGGUUGAGGACUUAAAUGGCACUUUUUUUUUUUUUUUUAACUUUUAUGGAAACUUGUAGUGAUAAUCUUCUUGCUAAAUAUGAGUAUUUUGACUUGAUUGAUUCUGUUAAUUCCUGAGAAUAUGUGCAACAGCACAAGAGAAAAAAAAAAGGCGCCAUCCUACAGCAUUUUCUCAGUGCUCUGAACUCUCCUUCUCUUCUUAUGCCUUCAGAUCUUUCUUUUGCUUCAAUUUCAUUGAUAAUCAUGAUGUGCUAAAAUGUGAAAUCAGCAGUCCAUCUAAUGCAAGAUUUGAAAUUGGUCACUGUUUUGGAUGUUUUGUUUAGUGACACAGUUUCUAUUAUGGUUUACUUAGUUGGUUUGACAAAUAAAUUUAUGUUUGAUACCUUAGUUUUUGAUGAUACAAUAAUGCAAAAUUCUCAAGUAAACUAUAUCUAACGAACUAUUGAGGAAUAUUAUAGAACUUUUCAAUUUUAUAGCGUCAAAUCAUAAUUCAUUUGGCCAAAAAAUUCAUAAUUUAUAAUUUUUGGUUCUGUUUAUUGAUCAUUUUAGCAAGCAAAGGUUUAUUUAAAAUUAUAAGAAAGGAAAUGUUCUGCGGUAAUUGCUAUGAACUGGGACUUUCAUGGAGUUUGUUUUGAUAAUAAGACUCUCACUGAUCAUGUGAUUCGUCCUUCUUUGAUAAACUGUUGUCAAAGAAUCUAAUUUUCAAGUUUUAUCCUCAGAGACAGUGAUGUUACCAUGUUGCUUCUGUUCAUUGUAAUUUUUCUUUUUAAUCAUAUUUGAGAUCCUCCUAAUUGAAUUUGCACUUUUCUGUCAUUGAAUGCUUCGUUGAAGUUUUGGAUAAGUGAUCUUUCUUCUCUUUCAUUUUUACACUUUCAUAUUGUCUUCCACAUUGCUGCCCCUCUUGUCAUUUUGCACCUUGUUUCCGGGAUCUAAUGAAAAAUCUAUCUGAUUACUAAAAAACCUGCUUACUCGAGCACAAAUGAAAACCUGGGAUGCCAUCUAAUUUUGAACUUUGAUGCUACUCCUAUAUAUUUUUGAGGAAUCUUUUUUGAAUACUAUCUUUAUCAUGUACGAGAUUAAUUUAUGUUCUCUUUUCUACUGCUAUAUGUCUUUGUGUGCUUUACCUCAUUUGUGUGUCAAUUAGCUCUUUAGCUUUUGAACCUAGUUUGUGAUAAGUCUAUAAAAAUUUCUGAAGUUAUUUGAAUAAACCACUUUUCUAAUGGCCAAGGUGCUAUUUGUUCUCAGGGGGGCUUUGAAUUCUUGUAAGCAUAGUUGCUAGCAGUUGCUGUUGUUGUGUGAUCUCGGUCCAUUCUAUUUAGGAAGCUAGAUGGGUUCCAGAUUCCCAUCUCAUCAGCUCAGCAAUGGACUUUAUGUCUCAGGCAGGCCAGAGCAGCCUAAAGAAAGGACUCCAACCAUGAGCUCAGCAGCGAUGCCGUAUACUGGUGGAGAUAUUAAGAAGUCAGGAGAACUGGGGAAAAUGUUUGAUAUCCCUAUGGAUGGUUCUAAGUCCAGGAAAUCUGGGCCUAUAAGUGGUGCUCCUUCAAGGACUGGAUCUUUUGGGGGUGCUGCUUCACAUUCUGGACCAAUCAUGCCGAAUGCAGCACCUCGGGCAGGCUAUACUACAGGAGGUCCUGGUGCCACUGGAGGCAUCUCUGGUUCAGCCUCAUUAAAGAAGUCAAACUCUGGACCGCUGAAUAGACAUGGGGAUCCUGUAAAGAAAUCAUCUGGUCCACAAUCUGGCGGAGUAACACCAAGUGGACGUCAAAAUUCUGGUCCUAUUCCUCCUGUUCUCCCUACAACUGGCCUUAUUACGUCUGGGCCUAUCUCCUCAGGUCCGUUGAAUUCCUCUGGAGCUCCUAGGAAAGUGUCUGGUCCUUUGGAAUCUAUGGUAUCAAUGAAAGUAAAAGGUUCUGCUGUUGUUCAUAAUCAGGCUGUGAAUGUUCUUAGCCAAGAUGAUGACUUUUCUUUCAAGAAGAACUUCCCAAAACUAAUAUUAUGGGCACUGAUACUGCUUUUUGUAAUGGGUUUCAUUGCUGGUGGUUUUAUUCUCGGAGCAGUUCACAAUGCCAUUCUCCUCAUUGUUGUUGUGGUCCUUUUUGGUGCUGUUGCUGCCUUAUUUGCUUGGAACUCCUAUUGGGGGAGAACAGCUAUUAUGGGCUUCAUUGCUCGGUAUCCAGAUGCAGUGCUUAGAAAAGCAAAGAAUGGACAAUUUGUGAAAAUUUCUGGGGUAUGUGAUUUAAUUUAAUGAUUUUAUAUGAUAGUUUCAUAAUAGCUACUGGCAAAUAGUGAUCUAUAAUCACAUGAACAUCCAAAAUCUUCAACGGAUGUUUUCUUGAAAUCCUGACCAUCUUUUUCCCCUCCCUCUAUGAAACUGGCAUUGUUAAGGGUUUCCCUACUAUAGUUGGUCCUAAAUCCAGAUUGAAGGCAAGGCUUUCAUUAAGCAGCUGACAGCUAUUAUGAUACUUUGUUGAAUUUUUAUAUAUGGAUCUUAUUGGAUAUUGAAUUUGCUUACUAGGAGAAGGCUUAGACUCCUUUUGUUAGAUGUUUUGCUUUUUGCUACUCCUUCCAUUCAAAUUAUUAGUCCUCCUCGGACUUUCAAAGCUUUAAAAAAAAAAAAAUCCUUUGAUUUUGGUGUAUUUAAUGUUAACAUUUUUUUUUAAAAUUGAUGUUCCAUAUGUUUUAUAGUAAAAAAGUAAAAAAAAAAAGUCAUGAAAAAUAAUUUUGGAAUAAAGAAAAAGUAAUAGAUUUAAAUGUUCUAAAAGGAAAAGAGGACAUAGUUUUGGAACAUCUAAAAACAUAAAGAUGAACAAAGAAAAUGUGACAGAGGGACUAUUUGUCUUUUGGUUGUUUGUUUAUUUUUUAUCUUUUGCUUUUUCCUUUUAUUUCAAUUUUUGGCAGAAAAAAAAAUCAAAAUGCAAAAGCAUCAAUUAAAUGGGGCCUUAGUUUGUUCUUGUUGUAUGUUUUCUUAAAAUUCUAAUGCUAUUUGUCCCUCUGUGUCCUCCCUUCUUUAAAACUCUUUCUUCUGAUAUUGGGGCACUGAAAUUCUUAGAGUGACUGCUUUAGCUUUGACAUAUUUAUAUGCUACAUUAAAGUAUCAACUUUGCAAAUAAGAUUUGUAAUCUCUUUCCUUACAUGAAAUUCCUUAGGAUAGAGGUGGUAGUUUAAAUACUUUUUAAAUUCAAAUAGCUCAUAUGUAUUUUAACUACUAAGGAGGAAAUAUUUUAGGACCUGUCAAGUCACUGUGACAUAUACUUGUUGAACAUCAAUUUAAAAUUUUAUAAGAUAUCAUUUGUUUUAUUAAUAAAGAUUGAAAGACCUGAACUGGCUUUCAUGUAAUUGAUUCUGAAAUAUUCAAUCUAUUUUAACAGUGUUGCCAUUCAUUUGCAGGUAGUAGUACAUAAAGUGUAGUGGUUCCGUGGGGUUUAGCCUCUAGUAGUUACCAGGGAUCUAAGUUAAUUCUUCAAACUCAUCAAAUUUCCACUAUAAGAUUGUUUAACCUAAAUUGUGUAAAAUAUUCCUCCUAUGCUAUCUAUAUGGUUGUGGGCCAAAAAAAACCUAUAUGGCUUGAACUGUGAUAUUAAAUAAAAAAUAUAUAUAUAAUUUGAGUUGAUGUCAAGUUGCCAACUCAAGGUCCUAUUGUAAUUACUAUGGUCUAAGCCUGUUGGAUAAAAAGCCAUGUACGUAUAGGUAUAGAAGAGCAUUCAUUUUACAUACAUAUGAUCCCCUGUAAUGGCUGCACAUCUUCUAACUAGUGGAAAUUGAAUUACUGGUUGUUUAUGCUUGUGUACUUGUGUUUUUUUUUGGAACCAUUUAGUUUAUCUGCUUGUUAAUGUGUAGAUGACAUCAAUUAAGUGUUUGGUUGUAAUUUUUGUAGGUGGUAACAUGUGGGAAUGUGCCUCUUGAGUCAUCCUUCCAGAAAGUUCCCAGAUGUGUUUAUACAUCUACUAGUUUGUAUGAGUAUCGAGGAUGGGAUUCCAAAGCUGCCAAUCCUAAGCAUCGUCGUUUUACUUGGGGACUCCGAUUGUUGGAAGUGAGUAAUUGAAUUGUUAAUUUUUAUUCUAUUGUUUCCUUAUUUUUUAUGAAAUUUGUUAUGGCUAGCCCUUAUUUUAAAUUUUCAAAUAGCUGAGGUGUUUCCACUCCUUAAAUGUGAAAAGAACAAGGAUUUAUUGGCAUAUGUACACACUGUGAAGUGGCACAUUGCUCUAUGCUUGCAGGUUUUGCCGGGCAGAUAUGCCGAAACUUGUUUAUAUGUUGUCUAAUUUGUUUUAAUUCCCUAUUGGGAAUUUUUUUUUUUUCAUUUUUUCCCAUUUGUUCAGCUUUGUAUGUUCUCUAGGCUUCUUUCUUGUUUCGAAUUAUCAAAUUUAUUAUCGUGAGGACCCUGACUACUGUUUGUAUGUCUCUGGGAAGCUGGAUAAACUUUCAUCUAGUUCUCUUGUCUGCCAUCUAAAAUUCAAAUUUAUCUAAUUGUUAUCGCAAGAGGGUCUUCUUUACACACCAUCAUCCUGGGAUCCAAGUCAUUGGAGGAUAUAACCUUUUUAACUGAGCUUGAGAUUUCAUACUUUUUGAAUGUAACCUUUGUGUAUGUCAUUUUGACAGAGACGUGCAGUUGACUUCUACAUAUCAGAUUUCCAGUCUGGGUUGAGAGCAUUAGUAAAAACAGGCUAUGGAGCUAGAGUAACUCCUUAUGUGGAUGACUCAAUUGUUAUAGAUGUCAACCCAGCCAAUGAAGUGUUGUCUCCAGAAUUUGUCAGGUGGUUGGGAGAAAGGAACCUUUCAAGUGAUGACCGUGUUAUGCGAAUGAAAGAAGGGUAAACAUUCUCUCCUAUUCAUAAUUUCACCUUAAUAUUAAGUGUUUAUGUUGCAGGAACAAUAAAUGGUAUCCUGAGGGUCUCUCUCUCUCUCUUUUUAUAUAUAUAUAGGGAGGGAUCUAGUUACACCAAAAAAGUUUUGCAUCUUUUUUUAACCAUUGAUUUUAAUAGAUCCAAGGGAUGAGAGAGACAAGUGAAAAAUAAAAAAAUUUGUUUAAUCUCAUUUCUUAGAUCUAUUAAAAUCAAUAGUUAGAAAAAAAUGUAAAAGUUUUUUGUGUAAGUUGAUCUUUUCCCAUAUAUAUAUUGUUGCACUAAAGGUCCCUUUAUUUGAGUGAUGGCUGAUGGGGCUUAUUCUUGAGUCUGCAAAUUGCAAUUCUUAGAAGUUAUCUUCUACAAUGCAUUAUUUUCAAGAUGGGUAAUCUUUUGUGAUAUUCUCUGGUUGUAAGGAUUACUUUGUAAUAAACUGGAAUCGCAAAGCGAAGUCUGAUGUAAGGUGCCCUAGCUAGAGGUGGCAAAAUCUAACCAAACCGAAAAAACAGUCCAGGCCAGUCCGAGACCAAACCUUAUUGGUCAAGUUGACUAAAAAUAGUCAAAGAUCCAAAUCCGAAACAGUACAAGCUGGAGGCAAUCAAAACCUGAAACAGCUCAAACUUGGAGCAAUCCGGCCUGAAGUAAUCUGAACCUGCAACAACCCAAACCUGAAACUGAUCCAGUGCAAAACCCAUAACCUGAAAAGACUCACACUGUAACUAAUCCAAGUCCAACUGAACUCAAGAUGGCCCAAGCUCGAAAUGACUUAAAUCAGAUAUGGUUAAAACCCGAGAUGGCUCAACCUUUCAUUGUCCAGACCUGGAACCGCCCAAAUUUGAAAUAGUUUGCACCAAAAUUUGUCUAAACUUGAGAUGAUCUGAACCCAAAAUAGUUUGAACUUGAGGAUAGAUCGACCAACCCAAUCUUGCUCUAUUGCCACUUAGCACUAGCACAAAAAUGUACAUUUAGCUUUGAUUGACAUGGAUUGUAAAUUAUCUAACUUGUUUACCAUUGGUUUGUCUUAUGUAGCAGCGUGGUACUCAUUUGUGGUUAGAUUGAUCCACCACUCAAUGUUAUUAUGAAAUUAAAUCCCAAAUCUUAGAAUUUGUUGGUUUGAAAAACUCUAAUCUUGUUGUCAAUUAUUUUGAAAUUGCAAUUUUAUUAUGUUUAUAGGUAUAUUAAGGAAGGAAGCACGGUUAGUGUAAUGGGAGUUGUUCAGAGAAAUGAUAAUGUGCUUAUGAUUGUCCCUCCACCUGAGCCAAUUACAACUGGAUGCCAGUGGGCCAAAUGUAUCUUCCCAGCUAGCCUCGAGGGUAUUGUAUUGAGAUGUGAAGACACAUCAAAUAACGACGCCAUACCCGUUUAGUAACAUGUGCAUUGUAAACUUUUCCAACAACUCUUUUAAAAUUAAUUCUCUUUUUCUUCCUUUUUUUCUUCUAUUAAUAUUUGGUGAUGGUAGUUGCUGUGGCAAGGGUGAGUGAUGAACAUGAGAGGC